CAAAUAUUUAAAACUUUCAACAACGGAUCUCUUGGUUCUCGCAUCGAUGAAGAACGCAGCGAAUUGCGAUAAGUAUUGUGAAUUGCAGAAUUUCGUGAAUCAUCGAAUCUUUGAACGCACAUUGCACCCUGUGGUAUUCCACAGGGUAUGCCUGUUUGAGCGUCAUUU
Molecule: ribosomal RNA, 168 nt
Filed under: Nakazawaea holstii
Lineage: Eukaryota; Fungi; Ascomycota; Pichiomycetes; Alaninales; Pachysolenaceae
Also listed under: 1 other name
Description: 5.8S ribosomal RNA
Rfam family: 5.8S ribosomal RNA
About the family: 5.8S ribosomal RNA (5.8S rRNA) is a component of the large subunit of the eukaryotic ribosome. It is transcribed by RNA polymerase I as part of the 45S precursor that also contains 18S and 28S rRNA.
Source: RNAcentral